Molecule: ribosomal RNA, 364 nt
Filed under: uncultured Desulfocapsa sp.
Lineage: Bacteria; Pseudomonadati; Thermodesulfobacteriota; Desulfobulbia; Desulfobulbales; Desulfocapsaceae
Description: bacterial SSU rRNA
Rfam family: Bacterial small subunit ribosomal RNA
Source: RNAcentral
CUUCGGAGGCACCUGCACAGGUGCUGCAUGGCUGUCGUCAGCUCGUGUCGUGAGAUGUUGGGUUAAGUCCCGCAACGAGCGCAACCCUUGUCUUUAAUUGCCAUCAUUGAGUUGGGCACUUUAAAGAGACUGCCGGUGUCAAACCGGAGGAAGGUGGGGGAUGACGUCAAGUCCUCAUGGCCUUUAUGACCAGGGCUACACACGUACUACAAUGGCCGGUACAAAGGGCAGCGACACAGCGAUGUGAAGCGAAUCCCGAAAAGCCGGUCUCAGUCCGGAUUGGAGUCUGCAACUCGACUCCAUGAAGUUGGAAUCGCUAGUAAUCGCGGAUCAGCACGCCGCGGUGAAUACGUUCCCGGGCCUU